This 644-nucleotide ribosomal RNA is filed under the name Gephyromantis pseudoasper. Its description in RNAcentral is "partial 16S ribosomal RNA". The stretch from base 1 to 449 matches the Rfam family "Bacterial large subunit ribosomal RNA", at positions 614 to 1301 of the family's 2925-position model. Lineage: Eukaryota; Metazoa; Chordata; Amphibia; Anura; Mantellidae. The record is from RNAcentral.
CAUGGUCUAGCAAGUCUAUUCAAGCAAAAUGAAUUUUAGUUAGAAGCCCCGAAACUAGGUGAGCUACUUCGAGAUAGUCUAAAGAACAAACCCGUCUCUGUUGCAAUAGAGUGGGAGAAUCCCCAAGUAGAGGCGACAAACCUACCGCACCUAGAGAUAGCUGGUUGCCCAAGAAAAGAAUAUUAGUUCUACCCUAAGUUUAUGAGUUACAUAAAAACCCCUUAAAACUUAAGAGCCAAUCAAAUAAGGUACAGCUUAUUUGAAAUAGGAAACAGCCUAAACCACAGGGUAAUGUGUAUAAAACAAGCACCUGGUUGGCCUAAAAGCAGCCACCCCCUAAAAAGCGUUAAAGCUUACCACUUCCCCCCCCCCUCCAAUACCAAAAUACACCCUUAACCCGUCCCCCAUAUUGGACAACCCCAUAAACCUAUGGAAGAUAUAAUGCUAGAACUAGUAACAAGAAAAAGCCUUUCUCCAAAAUGUUAGCCUAAGCCACAAUAGACAAACUACUGGCAAUCAACGCGUAUGAAACCACUAUAACAACCCCAACAAGAAAACCCUAUACCCACACAGCGUUAACCUUACACUAGAGCAUUCCUGGAAAGAUUAAAAGAAAAAGAAGGACNUCGGAAAACCCNAGCCCU